CCUACGGGAGGCAGCAGUAGGGAAUCUUCCACAAUGGACGAAAGUCUGAUGGAGCAACGCCGCGUGAGUGAAGAAGGGUUUCGGCUCGUAAAGCUCUGUUGGUAGGGAAGAAAGAUAGUGGGAGUAACUGGCCUUUAUUUGACGGUACUUACUUAGAAAGUCACGGCUAACUCCGUGCCAGCAGCCGCGGUAAUACGUAGGUGGCAAGCGUUAUCCGGAUUUAUUGGGCGUAAAGCGAGUGCAGGCGGUUGUUUAAGUUUGAUGUGAAAUCCUUCGGCUCAACCGGAGAAUUGC
This 294-nucleotide ribosomal RNA is filed under the name uncultured bacterium. RNAcentral describes it as "partial 16S ribosomal RNA". It matches the Rfam family "Bacterial small subunit ribosomal RNA", at positions 338 to 624 of the family's 1533-position model. The record is from RNAcentral.